ACUUUUGAAGUGUCGUCAGAAACGUUUGUGAGUUAUCCAGAUAAUUUUAAUAAAAUAUUUUAAAGUCAUGUAAUUGACCGAAAUAUAGAUUCCAGGCGCUACUGGUCCUGAAGUACCAGAAGGCGCGUUCGGUGUAAUCUCUAGUAUUUCGAUACUCCUGGUUCUUUCUUGACAGUAAGGUUAAACAAUGUGCAGUAAGUCACAUAUUUCCAAAAUAUCUGGGGGGGCUAUUACGGUUUCUGAAACGAGGUGAAAAUUACAAAAAACCGUGAUAGCCCCCCUGAGAAGGUGCAAUUGGUGUUGCAAAAGCGAAUUGGUAUUUAAUCAACGAGAUUCAGAGACGGAAGCACAAGCCCAGGAUGAUCCUUCCCGAGAAAGCAGUCUCCGUACUUCGUCUGGAACCAAGAUUCAUAACUCCAGCGAUUAGAACCUGUUCGGAUGCGCUCAAAUGCAAAGUUUGUCGUGCCAUGAGAUAUUUUCCUCCUGAACAAUGCAGUAUGGUCAAUGUUAAAGUGAUCGGGUGUUUACUGUUUGUAUGUGAUGGCGACACACUAUAGUUAUACCGGUGAUUCAAGAACAGAUUGGAAUAUUCCAUCUGCGACUUGCUCUCUUUGGCGAAAGGAUAUUUCUUGAUGCAUUCGACUUUAUUUGAUAAUCUAACGAGUUUGUAUGAAAAUGUCUUAGAAGUAUGGGAGAACAUACAGAGGAAUGCCAUUGAAAUGCAUGGUAAUUUGUUAUUUACAUAUUUUAAUUACUGUUUAACAAGUAGUACACAGAUAAUUUCCACAUUAUUGAAUC
This is a long non-coding RNA of Solenopsis invicta (red fire ant), 798 nucleotides long. RefSeq lists it as uncharacterized. NCBI's taxonomy places the organism in Eukaryota, Metazoa, Arthropoda, Insecta, Hymenoptera, Formicidae. The transcript is spliced from 3 exons. The record is from RefSeq and is a predicted model, not a curated record.